GUAUGAAGUGAUGGCAUCAUCUUUCGGGACUGACCUGUUAUGGAGAUAAUCACUAAUUUAACUGAUCAUAC
Molecule: small nucleolar RNA, 71 nt
Organism: Danio rerio (zebrafish)
Lineage: Eukaryota; Metazoa; Chordata; Actinopteri; Cypriniformes; Danionidae
Source: Ensembl